AGAGUUUGAUCAUGGCUCAGAACGAACGCUGGCGGCAGGCUUAACACAUGCAAGUCGAGCGCCCCGCAAGGGGAGCGGCAGACGGGUGAGUAACGCGUGGGAACGUACCCCCCGGUUCGGAAUAACUCAGGGAAACUUGAGCUAAUACCGGAUACGGCUGGAAGGCGAAAGAUUCAUCGCCGGGGGAUCGGCCCGCGUCCGAUUAGCUAGUUGGUGUGGUAACGGCGCACCAAGGCGACGAUCGGUAGCUGGUCUGAGAGGAUGAUCAGCCACAUUGGGACUGAGACACGGCCCAAACUCCUACGGGAGGCAGCAGUGGGGAAUAUUGGACAAUGGGCGCAAGCCUGAUCCAGCCAUGCCGCGUGAGUGAUGAAGGCCUUAGGGUUGUAAAGCUCUUUCACCCACGACGAUAAUGACGGUAGUGGGAGAAGAAGCCCCGGCUAACUUCGUGCCAGCAGCCGCGGUAAUACGAAGGGGGCUAGCGUUGUUCGGAAUUACUGGGCGUAAAGCGCGUGUAGGCGGGUCUUUAAGUCAGGGGUGAAAUGCCAAGGCUCAACCUUGGAACUGCCUUUGAUACUGGAGAUCUUGAGUCCGGGAGAGGUGAGUGGAACUGCGAGUGUAGAGGUGAAAUUCGUAGAUAUUCGCAAGAACACCAGUGGCGAAGGCGGCUCACUGGCCCGGAACUGACGCUGAGACGCGAAAGCGUGGGGAGCAAACAGGAUUAGAUACCCCAGUAGUCC
This 740-nucleotide ribosomal RNA is filed under the name uncultured bacterium. RNAcentral's name for it is "bacterial SSU rRNA". It matches the Rfam family "Bacterial small subunit ribosomal RNA", at positions 8 to 796 of the family's 1533-position model. The record is from RNAcentral.